CGCCUCUGCCUCACUUCAGCCUCGGACACAGCAGACGGAGCUUCAAAGAGCUGGCGGACGGACAGAGACGAGGAGCGCUGUGAUGUUGAGUCGCUGGGUCGUGCCGGCUGAGCAAGACUUUGAUGGAGUAACAGCUUAAAACAGCUCAAUUCGGAAGAGAAAGAGCGCGCGUGCUCCGCCAGGACUAAGAAAAAAAAAAGAAAAAAAAAAAAGAAAAUGCUGUUCUAGCGCGAGCGCACACUGGUUUCUUCUCCCUUCUUCUUUCUGCUUUGGACCUUGAGCAACUUUUGUUUCCGCCGUGUUUAAGCCCGCAGUCCAUUUGACCCGUUUACUUGGAGCGUGAAAAGCCGCGGACGAGAUGGAGAGCGAGAAGUACCUCCCGGAGCUUCUGGCGGAGAAGGACACGCUGGACCCGUCCUUUCAGCACUCCCUGCGGCUGCUGGAGCAAGAGAUUGAAAAAAUCCAGAGAGAUGAGGGGAAGGAGGAGGAGAAGUUUAUUGACGUCGUCAUCAACAAGAACAUGAAACUGGGCCAGAAAGUUUUAAUACCAGUCAAGCAGUUUCCUAAAUUUAACUUUGUCGGCAAACUCCUGGGGCCACGCGGGAACUCGUUAAAGAGACUACAAGAGGACACCCUCACAAAGAUGUCGAUUCUCGGAAAGGGAUCCAUGAGAGACAAAGAGAAGGAAGAAGAGCUACGGCAGAGCGGCGAGGCCAAAUAUCACCAUCUGAACGAAGACCUACACGUCCUCAUCGAGGUGUUUGCUCCACCAGCUGAGGCCUACGCCAGAAUGGGUCACGCUCUGGAGGAGAUCAAGAAGUUUCUCAUACCAGAUUACAAUGAUGAGAUCAGACAGGCCCAGCUGCAGGAGCUCACAUACCUGAACGGCGGCUCCGAGGAUGCCAAGGUGCCAUCGGUCAGGGGCAAGUCAGCCGCCCGUGGCAGGGGGACACCUGUUCCGGGGCCUCCAAGGAGUCGUGGAGGAGUUCCUCCCCUGCAUGCAGCAGUCCCCAGAGGGGCAGCACCCCGAGGAGCCCCACCCAGCCGGGCCCCGUCCUCCAGAGGGAGAGGAGUCCAGAGAGCCAGAGGCACCCUCCCAGCUGCCAGCUACAGGGCGGCUCCGCCCAUAGUACAGGACACAUACGGUGAAUAUGACUACGACGACGGCUACGGAACUGCUUACGAUGACCCAGGAUAUGAGUCUUACGACAACAGCUACAGUAAUCAAGGACAAAACUCAGAUGACUACUAUGAAUACGGACACAGCGGGGAGUCAUACGAGUCGUAUGGUCAGGAAGAGUGGGCAAACAGUCGCGGCAAGGCUCCGUCGGUGCGGACGACCAAAGGAGCGUACAGGGACCAGCCAUACUCCAGAUAUUGAACUGUUUAUACGAGCCGCACCCGAGUCCUCAUGGCGGUUUCAACUCAAGUAAUGGAUUUUUUUAUGGACGCUCCCACCUUUUUAGAAUCGAAAAGCAAUCCGCGAAGUAACACAAACAAAACACUGAACUGAAAGUAAUGGAAUGCCCCCCUAAUUAUAAACGAAAAUCGUACCCUGACUUGGCAAAAAUCCGUAAAGCGGUUUAGGUAAGCCGCCCCUCCCCUCAGUAGAAUCGACAGAACGUUAAGGCCAAGAACGGCUCCAUAGUACAUUAAGUUUCUCUCUCAGCUAUGUGAUUGUGAAGAAUGACAUUGUAUCAAGCUAUUGUACUUGGUAAUGAUCAGUGAGCCACUGUAAGCUGUUGGAUACAAUGUUUCCACACAGCUGCCAGUGCAACUUAAUUUAUCAGCCUCUAUUCUUUAGACCUCUGAAAUGUUAGUAGAUUAGUCCUAGGAAAGUGCAGUACUGUAGAUAUUUUCUCCUGAAGGAUAAUUGGUGAACUUUGUGUCCCUUGUAAAUGAAACAUUUGCAAACUGGAAAAAAAAAAAAGAGAAAAGUCAUUCUGUAUACACAUUGUAUUGCUGUUCCUUCCUUUUUUUAUGUAAAAUAACAGUCCAGUAAGUGUUAAAGGGCUUAUAAAAGCAUGGUGUGCAACUGUGGAUCUUGCCAGCUGUUUAAAAAGCCUGUGUAGUUGUGAUCGUUCGCUAAGCCCCCCAAACAUCUCCUUAAGUCCAUCUAUAAAUAGCUGCGCCUACUUUCUUGUGCACUGAGCCGCCAUAACGGGGGGAACAGUUUGGGAGAUUUUAAAUGUCUGUCAUUCUUUUUAGACGCUCCUGCUGAGCAAUUGUGAUGCUUGUUGUAUUUUUUUUUUUUUUUUUUUUUUUUUUUUAGAAUAUUUAACAUGAUAUAGUGCUGGUAAAAAGUUUACAUUCCCUCACCUUACUCAUGAAUGUCGUAUAAACUAUGAGCUUUGUGUGACGCAUUUGAAUCCAUCUUUUUUUCAGGGUACAAUGAAUAUACAGAACAGGUUUUUUGGAGCAUUUUUAAAAUGCAAAACUGGUUGCACCAGUUUGAAUUUUGUCCAGAUUUACUCCCAGCUGGGACAAAAAUAUAUACAGGCUCAAAUGGAUACAUAUCCUUCCACCAUUCUCAUUAGAUAUGUGGUUCCAAUCUGCAGAGAAACUACACGUUCUUUAGCCUCCACAACUCUGCCUGCAUGUUUGACCACUUUUAAUAUCCAAACUGAGUAAAGUUUUAAAUUAGGCAGGUUUCUGGAGCGACACGUAGUGUAGAGGUAAGGCAGGUGCCCUAUUUACGAUCACUUAUACUCCUCGACGUAUGUCCCCCCUCCCCUUAUAAACCUUUGAGUUCAUUAGGUUUGUUUCCUUCACAAAUAAUCAGAAAAUUCUCCUCAUCUCAGCUAAUGUCUGGAUCCUGACAAUAUGUCCUGCGAGUUCACCUGAGAGCAGAUAUCUUCUAUCUGGUGGAGAAAAAAUUGUUCAGACUUUUUGUAAAAUAUCUGACAAACCAGAUACCAAGACAUCAGUAAUCUGUAGAAGAGUUUGUGUGACUGACUGGCUUCUGGAGAUUUGUUCUACCAUGCCGUCGGCUCCCUGAAAGCUGAAAAGUUAUGAUGCACCUGUAUGGUCCAAUAAUCUUAUUCAGUGAUAUUAACCCAAUAAGUCAUGCAGAUUUUGACCACCUGACCAAAACUGCCACCCUCAGAGGGAGGAAAAUGAUGAAGGAUGUUCAAGAAGAACCCUAGAACCACCAAAUCUGAAGCCAAUCAAAAACUGGAACCUGCUCGAUCUGUAGAGUCCGCAGUAAAGCAAUUGUUUUUUUUUUUUUGUUUCUUUUUAUUAAGAAUGGUGGUGGUCUGGUUCUCUGUCAGAGCUACUGCAUUGUACAAACUUUGUAGCAUAAUAAAGACAAAAGACAACCUACGAACUCUUCAGCUUCCCCUCAGCUAGAUGCUUAAAAUUUCAACAUCAUUGGGUGUUCAAGCAGAUCAAUGAUCUCCACAGCAACAGACCCUGACCUAAAUCCUGUUGGGGAUUUAUGAAAUAUCCUUAAAAGCCUUGAAAGCGCCAACAAGGCACCCAAUUUUAAGGAAUUCAAUCAGUUCAGGCAGAAUUAUGCCAGAACUUGGCCACAAACCUUUGUAUUUUCUCUACAACUUGCUAAGAGACAUUUAACCAAUCUAAAAUGGGAGGUAUAUGUAUUUAAUUAAGCUUGUACGCAUAAUUUUGAUCACACAUGGAUGAGGGAAAAUCCACAAGAAAUUCAAACUUGUGCUCACAUGUUUUUUUUUUUAUUUACUGAAGUUGCUUAUUCCAUUACACCCUGACAAAAAAGAGCAGUUAAAAUGCCCAAAAUGAUGACAUUCAUGCACAUAAUAGGUGUAUGUAAACUUCUGACCAGAGCUGUACCUUUACUCUUCUGAACCCCUGUUUUUGAGUUUCAAUCUCAUCACCCAUCUCUCCAUCUAUCCUUCAGAGACAUGUUCAACUCUAUGGAUUGUGAGCUUAUGCCGAGGUCCCAGCUGAACACCACUGUCUGUCCAGGCAUGCUGCUGCUGCUGAAGGAUUAAAGAACAACUGAGAAGUCUCCCUCCAAACACUAAGACCAGAACAUUGCCCGACCGAAUCCCGACGGAAC
RNA transcript from Fundulus heteroclitus (mummichog), 4039 nucleotides. It is a transcript of the gene named KH domain containing, RNA binding, signal transduction associated 3, with no coding region annotated. NCBI's taxonomy places the organism in Eukaryota, Metazoa, Chordata, Actinopteri, Cyprinodontiformes, Fundulidae. The transcript has 11 exons. The record is from RefSeq and is a predicted model, not a curated record.